UCGGACGUGGUGCACGGUGCACAUCCGCUCAUUGUAAGCAUGUUACUGCCCAAGUAAUAUGUGGGAACCCUGGGUCCGACUCCCAGCGUCCGAA
Mycena galericulata is the source of this 94-nucleotide non-coding RNA. The record is from the annotation of a GenBank genome assembly. NCBI's taxonomy places the organism in Eukaryota, Fungi, Basidiomycota, Agaricomycetes, Agaricales, Mycenaceae.